Molecule: non-coding RNA, 1494 nt
Organism: Camellia sinensis
Lineage: Eukaryota; Viridiplantae; Streptophyta; Magnoliopsida; Ericales; Theaceae
Source: RefSeq, a predicted model, not a curated record
CACCACUGGGUCGGAAGGAUUGCCCUUCUCUUUGGAAAUGUGAAUAUAAUAGUGGGAAUUCAAAUUGGUGAUGCGGGUAGUGGAUGGAAAGCAGGAUAGGGAUUUCUUCUUGGUACAGUUCUAAUUGCAACUAUUGUUUUAGAAAUAUUGUCAAGGAUAAAAAGGUCGGAGCAUACAGAUGUUCGUCCAGCUUCAGGCAAGGGGAUUCUGACCCCUUGCAACCUCACCAACUUAUUGUGAAGGUUUUGUUUUUUUUUUUUGAACAAGGAAAGUGAACUUAUUGUGAAGUUUGAUCCACAGUUGAGUGCUAGUGUCUAGUACUCGGGAUCUACACUACCCAACAAUCAACUCUCAUUCUCUGUGAUUUCUUGAUUCAGCAAUGGAACUAGCACUGUCCUUGGAGAAGUUGACAAAUGAGAAACUUCUGAGCUUGCAUGGUGUUGAACCGUGUCUAAAAAGGAAGUUUGGGACUUGAGACUAGGACUACUCAUACUUGCUCUGUUCUUGACAACAAGUGGCUGCUCAAAACAAUGAUCCUCAAGAAUGAUCUUAAGGGCAGGUUAUUGUGUUACAAACAAGAUUGGACUGGUGGCUUCAGAGCUGGCUUCAGGAUUUUGCCUCCAGUCAUUUCAUUUGGGGAACAACUAGAUAGAAACACUGGUAUGGGAAUUAACUGUAAAUAAUUCUCAACCUAAAUGAAAUUUCUUUUAUAUUUUGGAAUGGAUGUUAAAUGGCUUCAGGUAUGUACUACAAUCAUGAUAUGUAUCAAGCCUUUAUUUGCUAUAUGAUUUUACAUUAAAUGCUCCACCUUUACUGAUUUUGGGAGUUGCGGAGCCCACUGUACUAAUGUAUACAUUCAUGUUUAACUUUGCCAAAGAGAGACCAGAUUUGGGUCACAAACUGUUUCUUCCAUGGACUGGAUGGGUGUGCGUGUGGACUGCAAUGUUGCUGUUCUUACUGGCUAUCUUAGGAGCUUGCUCCAUUAUCAACAGAUUUACUCGAAACGUAAUAAUGAUAUAAGAAUCUCAAAACGUGCAAAGAUGUUGCCGCAGUAGAUAUCAAUAUGGGUUGCCCAAAAUCAUUCUCUAUUAGUGGCGGAAUGGGCGCUGCAUUAUUGACUAAGCUGGCGCUUAUUCAUGAUAUCUCUGCAAGGAAAUAGGCUGACAGGGAAAAUUCCAGAGGUGAUAGGUCUAAUGCAAGCCCUUGCUGUUUUGAAGCUACAAAAAAGGCCCAAGAAGAGGCUUCUGAGCAUGUGAGAUGUCUAGAAGAAGAUUUGGGAAAGUUGAGUACAAGUUUUUUGUUGAUGGAGAAUGGCGGCAUGAUGAGCACCAACCAUUUGUAAGUGGAAAUUAUGGGGUGGUGAACAGUGUCUUCUUAGCUAGGGAGCCUGAUGGGUAGAUCUAGUAUGGAUGUGGAUAAUGAUCCAUUUUUUCAUUUUUUGGAAGCAAAUUAUCUUACAAAAGCUUUUGUAAUACAAGUUGGUCUAGUUGAUAA